UGCGAUAAGUAAUGUGAAUUGCAGAAUUCAGUGAAUCAUCGAAUCUUUGAACGCACAUUGCGCCCGCCAGCACUCUGGCGGGCAUGUCUGUUCGAGCGUCAUUUCAACCCUCAGAACCCCUUGCGGGAUCUGGCGUUGGGGAUUGGCAUCCAGCCAGCCCCGAAAUCUAGUGGCGGUCCCUCCGCGACCUCCCCUGUGCAGUAGCGAUACCUCGCAGCGGGACAGCGGUCUGACCACGCCGUAAAACCCCCAACUUCUCAAGGUUGACCUCGAAUCAGGUAGGAAUACCCGCUGAACUUAAGC
This 303-nucleotide unclassified non-coding RNA is filed under the name plant metagenome. Its description in RNAcentral is "partial contains 5.8S ribosomal RNA, internal transcribed spacer 2, and large subunit ribosomal RNA". The stretch from base 1 to 101 matches the Rfam family "5.8S ribosomal RNA", at positions 54 to 154 of the family's 154-position model. The record is from RNAcentral.